This 919-nucleotide long non-coding RNA is filed under the name Brassica rapa (field mustard). RNAcentral's name for it is "long non-coding RNA (BRAP_LNC006755)". Lineage: Eukaryota; Viridiplantae; Streptophyta; Magnoliopsida; Brassicales; Brassicaceae. The record is from RNAcentral.
UCUCGUAGAAGGCCUAUCGAGUAAAUAGAACUCAGCCUAAUUGAUUUGAAGAGGGAAUAUGUAUAGGUCGACUUGGGAAAAAAAAAAGCAAGAAGGAGGAGACCUUAGACCAAGAAAAGACAUUCACAAACACUGCUUUCCGGCGCAAGAACUAGAUUUUCACCUUUUCUUGUUCUUGUCGAAUUCAUUAAGUUUUUUAUGAUUCCAAUGUCUUUUCUUGUAAUUGAUUUAUUGUAUUUUUACCUUUUUUAACAAUCAUUUUCAUUAUAUUUGUGUUCAUUUAGAUUGUAUUUAAGAGUCUAUAUUGCAUUUUCAUAUGAAUUUAUGUUAUUUCAGGUUUUUGAGAGACCAUAUGCAGUUUGAAGCGGUUCUGUCGAUUUUGGAGAGGAUUAAGCCAUAAAAGUUCAACAAACAGCUUGGCUGAAGGUCUUAAAGAUAUAUUUCGAAGCUUAUAUUUAGCCACAAUAUAUAAAAUUGACUCAUCUUUCAGAUGGAAGUGGUCUCAAUCAAUUGAAGCUAUAUUCUAAGAGAUGUGGCCAAAUUACUGAAUUUAUGCUGCAAAGAAUGAAUGACCGCAGACAGAAAUCACAGACCGAACCCAUCCAUGAAAUCAAGGCAGGACGACUUUUGGAGAAGUAUCUCACCGCAGACGAAGCCCGUUUGUGGUCUACAUCAAUAGUAGUUUUUUAUCUAUUUUCUUUUGGGUUGACUCAAGCUUGUUGGGUUGACCGGAUUUAUUUUAAGGCCUAUAGAAGAGCAUUUUAGGGGGAAAUAAACCCUAAGUUACCUGAGCAUAGUUGCUCCUUAGUUUUGUCUUAAUAUUAAACCUUAAACUUGUGAAUCUUGCUUUUGUUUAAGAAUUUCUUUUGUUUAUCUUGUUUACAUCUCUCUGAACUCUUUAUUAUGCAUUUAUUUAUCA